UACGUAGGGUCCGAGCGUUGUUCGGAAUUACUGGGCGUAAAGGGCGCGUAGGCGGCUUGGCAAGUCAAAGGUGAAAUCCCUCGGCCUAACCGAGGAACUGCCUUUGAAACUGCUUGGCUUGAGGCCGGGAGAGGGUAGCGGAAUUCCCAGUGUAGCGGUGAAAUGCGUAGAUAUUGGGAGGAACACCAGUGGCGAAGGCGGCUACCUGGACCGGUUCUGACGCUGAGGCGCGAAAGCGUGGGGAGCAAACAGG
RNAcentral lists this ribosomal RNA (253 nucleotides) under uncultured bacterium. RNAcentral's name for it is "partial 16S ribosomal RNA". It matches the Rfam family "Bacterial small subunit ribosomal RNA", at positions 524 to 776 of the family's 1533-position model. The record is from RNAcentral.